This 1404-nucleotide ribosomal RNA is filed under the name Lactiplantibacillus plantarum. Its description in RNAcentral is "bacterial SSU rRNA". Lineage: Bacteria; Bacillati; Bacillota; Bacilli; Lactobacillales; Lactobacillaceae. The record is from RNAcentral.
AAGUCGAACGAACUCUGGUAUUGAUUGGUGCUUGCAUCAUGAUUUACAUUUGAGUGAGUGGCGAACUGGUGAGUAACACGUGGGAAACCUGCCCAGAAGCGGGGGAUAACACCUGGAAACAGAUGCUAAUACCGCAUAACAACUUGGACCGCAUGGUCCGAGUUUGAAAGAUGGCUUCGGCUAUCACUUUUGGAUGGUCCCGCGGCGUAUUAGCUAGAUGGUGAGGUAACGGCUCACCAUGGCAAUGAUACGUAGCCGACCUGAGAGGGUAAUCGGCCACAUUGGGACUGAGACACGGCCCAAACUCCUACGGGAGGCAGCAGUAGGGAAUCUUCCACAAUGGACGAAAGUCUGAUGGAGCAACGCCGCGUGAGUGAAGAAGGGUUUCGGCUCGUAAAACUCUGUUGUUAAAGAAGAACAUAUCUGAGAGUAACUGUUCAGGUAUUGACGGUAUUUAACCAGAAAGCCACGGCUAACUACGUGCCAGCAGCCGCGGUAAUACGUAGGUGGCAAGCGUUGUCCGGAUUUAUUGGGCGUAAAGCGAGCGCAGGCGGUUUUUUAAGUCUGAUGUGAAAGCCUUCGGCUCAACCGAAGAAGUGCAUCGGAAACUGGGAAACUUGAGUGCAGAAGAGGACAGUGGAACUCCAUGUGUAGCGGUGAAAUGCGUAGAUAUAUGGAAGAACACCAGUGGCGAAGGCGGCUGUCUGGUCUGUAACUGACGCUGAGGCUCGAAAGUAUGGGUAGCAAACAGGAUUAGAUACCCUGGUAGUCCAUACCGUAAACGAUGAAUGCUAAGUGUUGGAGGGUUUCCGCCCUUCAGUGCUGCAGCUAACGCAUUAAGCAUUCCGCCUGGGGAGUACGGCCGCAAGGCUGAAACUCAAAGGAAUUGACGGGGGCCCGCACAAGCGGUGGAGCAUGUGGUUUAAUUUGAAGCUACGCGAAGAACCUUACCAGGUCUUGACAUACUAUGCAAAUAUAAGAGAUUAGACGUUCCCUUCGGGGACAUGGAUACAGGUGGUGCAUGGUUGUCGUCAGCUCGUGUCGUGAGAUGUUGGGUUAAGUCCCGCAACGAGCGCAACCCUUAUUAUCAGUUGCCAGCAUUAAGUUGGGCACUCUGGUGAGACUGCCGGUGACAAACCGGAGGAAGGUGGGGAUGACGUCAAAUCAUCAUGCCCCUUAUGACCUGGGCUACACACGUGCUACAAUGGAUGGUACAACGAGUUGCGAACUCGCGAGAGUAAGCUAAUCUCUUAAAGCCAUUCUCAGUUCGGAUUSUAGGCUGCAACUCGCCUACAUGAAGUCGGAAUCGCUAGUAAUCGCGGAUCAGCAUGCCGCGGUGAAUACGUUCCCGGGCCUUGUACACACCGCCCGUCACACCAUGAGAGUUUGUAACACCCAAAGUCG